This 218-nucleotide unclassified non-coding RNA is filed under the name Hevea brasiliensis (rubber tree). The record is from RNAcentral. Lineage: Eukaryota; Viridiplantae; Streptophyta; Magnoliopsida; Malpighiales; Euphorbiaceae.
AAAAAGGGGAGUACACCAGACACUGAGGAUUUAUGUCCUCACUUCUACUUCAAAAGAAGCAUAGUUCGGUAUAACCAUGUGAGUAAGGCAAGAGCUCCUCCACCUCAAUUCUUGAGCUUGAACGUCUCACUUUCCUCAAUCUAAUGUGUUCUGAUUCAACCUCGGCCAAAAACAUACUGAAAACAGGUCUAUGAUCUGAAAAUCUAGACUCCCCACGG